UGGGGAAUAUUGCACAAUGGGCGCAAGCCUGAUGCAGCCAUGCCGCGUGUGUGAAGAAGGCCUUCGGGUUGUAAAGUACUUUCAGCGAGGAGGAAGGUGGUGAGCUUAAUACGCUCAUCAAUUGACGUUACUCGCAGAAGAAGCACCGGCUAACUCCGUGCCAGCAGCCGCGGUAAUACGGAGGGUGCAAGCGUUAAUCGGAAUUACUGGGCGUAAAGCGCACGCAGGCGGUUUGUUAAGUCAGAUGUGAAAUCCCCGGGCUCAACCUGGGAACUGCAUUUGAAACUGGCAAGCUAGAGUCUCGUAGAGGGGGGUAGAAUUCCAGGUGUAGCGGUGAAAUGCGUAGAGAUCUGGAGGAAUACCGGUGGCGAAGGCGGCCCCCUGGACGAAGACUGACGCUCAGGUGCGAAAGCGUGGGGCAGCAAACAGGAUUAGAUACCCUGGUAGUCCACGCUGUAAAACGAUGUCGAUUUUGGAGGUUGUGCCCUUGAGGCGUGGCUUCCGGAGCUAACGCGUUAAAUCGACCGCCUGGGGAGUACGGCCGCAAGGUUAAAACUUAAAUGAAUUG
Molecule: ribosomal RNA, 568 nt
Filed under: uncultured bacterium
Lineage: Bacteria
Description: partial 16S ribosomal RNA
Rfam family: Bacterial small subunit ribosomal RNA
Source: RNAcentral